UGGGGAAUUUUGCACAAUGGGGGAAACCCUGAUGCAGCGACGCCGCGUGAUUUAGAAGGCCUUCGGGUUGUAAAAAUCUUUUCUAUGGGAAGAAAAUGACAGUACCAUAGGAAUAAGGACCGGCUAAUUACGUGCCAGCAGCCGCGGUAAUACGUAAGGUCCGAGCGUUGUCCGGAAUCAUUGGGCGUAAAGGGUACGUAGGCGGGUAAGCAAGUUAGAAGUGAAAUCCUAUAGCUCAACUAUAGUAAGCUUUUAAAACUGCUCAUCUUGAGGUAUGGAAGGGAAAGUGGAAUUCCUAGUGUAGCGGUGAAAUGCGCAGAUAUUAGGAGGAAUACCGGUGGCGAAGGCGACUUUCUGGCCAUAACCUGACGCUGAGGUACGAAAGCGUGGGUAGCAAACCGG
RNAcentral lists this ribosomal RNA (402 nucleotides) under bacterium. RNAcentral describes it as "partial 16S ribosomal RNA". It matches the Rfam family "Bacterial small subunit ribosomal RNA", at positions 355 to 776 of the family's 1533-position model. The record is from RNAcentral.